This 398-nucleotide ribosomal RNA is filed under the name uncultured bacterium. RNAcentral's name for it is "bacterial SSU rRNA". It matches the Rfam family "Bacterial small subunit ribosomal RNA", at positions 490 to 890 of the family's 1533-position model. The record is from RNAcentral.
GCCCCGGCUAACUACGUGCCAGCAGCCGCGGUAAUACGUAGGGGCUAGCGUUAUCCGGAUUUACUGGGCGUAAAGGGUGCGUAGGCGGUCUUUCAAGUCAGGAGUUAAAGGCUACGGCUCAACCGUAGUAAGCUCCUGAUACUGUCUGACUUGAGUGCAGGAGAGGAAAGCGGAAUUCCCAGUGUAGCGGUGAAAUGCGUAGAUAUUGGGAGGAACACCAGUAGCGAAGGCGGCUUUCUGGACUGUAACUGACGCUGAGGCACGAAAGCGUGGGGAGCAAACAGGAUUAGAUACCCUGGUAGUCCACGCUGUAAACGAUGAGUACUAGGUGUCGGAGGUUACCCCCUUCGGUGCCGCAGCUAACGCAUUAAGUACUCCGCCUGGGGAGUACGCACGCA